This 253-nucleotide ribosomal RNA is filed under the name uncultured bacterium. RNAcentral's name for it is "partial 16S ribosomal RNA". It matches the Rfam family "Bacterial small subunit ribosomal RNA", at positions 524 to 776 of the family's 1533-position model. The record is from RNAcentral.
UACGUAGGGUGCAAGCGUUAAUCGGAAUUACUGGGCGUAAAGCGUGCGCAGGCGGUUUUGUAAGUCUGUCGUGAAAGCCCCGGGCUCAACCUGGGAGUUGCGAUGGAGACUGCAAGGCUUGAAUCUGGCAGAGGGGGGUAGAAUUCCACGUGUAGCAGUGAAAUGCGUAGAGAUGUGGAGGAACACCGAUGGCGAAGGCAGCCCCCUGGGUCAAGAUUGACGCUCAUGCACGAAAGCGUGGGGAGAAAACAGG